Molecule: long non-coding RNA, 1906 nt
Filed under: Olea europaea subsp. europaea
Lineage: Eukaryota; Viridiplantae; Streptophyta; Magnoliopsida; Lamiales; Oleaceae
Source: RNAcentral
AUAGGAAACAAAAAAAAAAAAAAAAUGAGAAAGAAGAAGAAGAAGAAGUGAAAGAGAAAGAAAGAGAAAAGAAGAAGAAAUUUGGGUUUUUGAGCUUUGAUUUCUAUAUUUCUCCAAUCUCUCCAUUGAUUUCAAGGUAAGUGUAAGUAUGUUGAAUUAUAUUUUUGAGUUUACGGAAAAAUUUCUCAGAUUUAAGGUUUAGCAAAAAUUAAUGAUUAUUGAUAUAUAUUUGAGAUAUCAAACAAAAAGAAUAAUAUUAGUGUUAAAAGAAAUGAAAGGUGAAAUGGGUUUGUAAAUUAGAGUUUCAAUCUUUAAUUUAUUGUGUUUAUAUGAUAUAAAACACUUGAUUUAUGAGGUAUUAGAGUGGUUAAAUGAUUCUGGGUUAUAUUUUGAUAUUUAUAAUUAAUUUUAGUGCAAAAUUCAUGUGCAGGUGCUAUUCUGAAACUAAUUCGAGAAAGUGCUAUUUCUGUCAAUAGAUUCGGUGACACUUAUCAAUACAUAGAAAUCGGUGCCAGAUUACAAUACUCUGAGAUUUUAGCGCUGUUUUUGUCAGACCUUUAAUUUCUCAGAUUUUAUAAGUUUGAAUAAAACUAAAUGAUAAAUAUUGGAGUCUAGUUAUUGGAUUAAAUCAUGCAUAUGGGUUGUAUGAGUAGAAGGCAAUGAUUUUAAGAAAGUAUUGAGUAAUCUAAGAAAGCAUCGAGUAAUCUAAUGGUUGCCAAUAAUCAAAGAGAAAAUAAGUUAGAGAAAUAGAGAUGCAAGAAUAAACAUAGAAAUUGAGGAUUUACACGGUGGAUUUACAUUAAUUUAAUUAUCAUGUUUUAAUUUGAGUAAUUAUAAUAUUAUUUCAGGUAGUGACGUAAAAGAUUGGAAAGUCUCUUCAAUAUAACCAAAUGUUUAUCCAUAGAUCUAGGAGUGGAAAAAACUUUAAUAUUUUCAAAAUAUUUAUAAAUUAAGUAUAUUAUUAAAUUAUGUGCAACUAUGUAAAUUAUUUGUUCAAUAAUGUGAUUACCAUGAAAGUUUCUUUUACUGUGAUACAUGCGAAAUUUCAAAGAUCAUAUAUAGUACAUUUGUGAAUUGGAAUAUGAGACAUGAUAAUGAGAUUGAUCAGAAAAGUAUCCAUGAUUAUAUACUUCUUCUAGUUCAUCGGGGGGUCUUGGCCGUGUUUUAUACUACAUUGAGGGGUCUUGGACCGCUGAUGAAGGGAUCUUGACCGUGUACAUAUAGUUCACUGAGGGGCAUUGAUUGUAUUCUAGAAUUGAUUAUCAGAUGUCUUCGAGAUCCGCUUUUGUUCAUGAAGGAGGCCAAAGCUCGUGGCGAAAAUGCUUAGCUCAAGGGGCGGAUUGCAGAUUUUAGUUAAAGGAUACAUUUUUUGUGGACUAUGUGUAAUGUGAUUAGAUGAUAAUAUGGAUUUGAGUUGAUGAAUAUAUCAUUACUAUGAGGUGAUAUCUUUUAGCAUUAUGAGAUGUCUCAUAUCUUGAUUAUUAUUACCUGUUGCUAUACUUUGAACUGCAAAAUAAUAUGAAUUCAAUUUUUGAUAGAUAUGUAUAAAUGAGAAAGGACAACUAUUUUUGAAAAUUUUCACUCAUUGAGCUAUCAAGUCAUAUAUUUUUCCACGUUUUUUCUUUCCAGGUAGCAAUCGAGUUUGGGGAGCUUUGAAGAGCCUGUUGAUUUAGUAGUCAUCGCCACAUGAUCAUUUCGUUGAGUUAAGCAUUAAAAAAAAAAAAUUAUCUCAAGCCCAUUGCAUUAUUCAUUUUUCAUAAGUAUCUUAUUUUGGAUCAUAAUUAGUAGUGACUCAUAGUUAGCAUUGGUGAUGGAUUUGACAUAUAGUUAGUGUAUAUCAUUGGUACACGUCACAUUUCGGGUUCACUCGAAUGAUUCGGGACAGGUAUAUAUAUAUAUAUAUAUA